AACAGGUUAAUAUUCCUGUACUUUCUUUAAUUGUGAUGGAGUGACGGAGAAGGAUAAGCAUACCUAUUAUUGGAUUUAGGGGUAAGUAGUUACUGGUGAUUGUAGGCAAAUCCGCAAUCUAUAACUGGGAGCUAUGAUGCAUAGGACUUUUGUCUGAAUUUGCCAAUUCCAUGCUUCCUAGAAAAGCUUCUAAACUUAAUUUUAUUGAAACCUGUACCAAGAACGGACACACGUCCCCAAGAUGAGUAUUCUAAGGCGAGCGAGAAAACUAGUGUUAAGGAACUCUGCAAAAUGACCCCGUAAGUUCGCAAGAAGGGGCGCCUAUGGUAACACAUAGGCCACAGUAAAUUAUGAGGGGCAACUGUUUAUCAAAAACACAACUCUCUGCUAAACCGCAAGGUGAUGUAUAGGGGGUGAAGCCUGCCCAGUGCCCGAAGGUUAAGUGGAUGCGUUAGCUUAUGCGAAGCGUUGAAAUGAAGCCCGGGUGAACGGCGGCCGUAACUAUAACGGUCCUAAGGUAGCGAAAUUCCUUGUCGGCUAAAUACUGACCUGCACGAAAGGCAUAAUGAUCUCUCAACUGUCUCAACACUAGACUCGGUGAAAUUAUGGUCCCAGUGAAAACGCUGGGUUCCCGCAUCAAGACGAAAAGACCCCAUGGAGCUUUACUAUAACUUCGUAUUGGAAUUUGGCCUAACAUGUGUAGGAUAGGUGGGAGACUUUGAAGCUGAGACGCCAGUAGCAGUGGAGUCAACCUUGAAAUACCACCCUUGUUAUGUUGAAUUUCUAACUUACCAUCAUAAUCAGGUGGGAGGACAGUGCGUGGUGGGUAGUUUGACUGGGGCGGUCGCCUCCUAAAGAGUAACGGAGGCGUUCAAAGGUACACUCAGUACGGUCAGAAACCGUAUGUAGAGCGCAAAGGCAGAAGUGUGCUUGACUGUGAGACAUACAAGUCGAGCAGGUGCGAAAGCAGGACUUAGUGAUCCGGCUGUACAUUGUGGAAUGGCAGUCGCUCAACGGAUAAAAGUUACCCUGGGGAUAACAGGCUAAUCUUGCCCAAGAGAUCACAUCGACGGCAAGGUUUGGCACCUCGAUGUCGGCUCAUCGCAUCCUGGAGCUGGAGUCGGUUCCAAGGGUUGGGCUGUUCGCCCAUUAAAGCGGUACGCGAGCUGGGUUCAAAACGUCGUGAGACAGUUUGGUCCCUAUCUGAUGUGGGCGUUGGAAUAUUGAUGAGAGCCGCUCUUAGUACG
RNAcentral lists this ribosomal RNA (1247 nucleotides) under Mycoplasmopsis bovis. RNAcentral describes it as "partial 23S ribosomal RNA". It matches the Rfam family "Bacterial large subunit ribosomal RNA", at positions 1424 to 2685 of the family's 2925-position model. The record is from RNAcentral. Lineage: Bacteria; Bacillati; Mycoplasmatota; Mycoplasmoidales; Metamycoplasmataceae.